GAUGAACGCUAGCGGCAGGCUUAAUACAUGCAAGUCAAGGGGGUAGCAAUACAACCGGCGCACGGGUGAGUAACGCGUACACAACAUACCAUAUACUGGAGUAUAGCUUUGGGAAACUGAAGGUAAUCCUCCAUAACAUUGCGAGAGGGCAUCUGAUUGCAAUUAAAGUUUCGGCGGUAUAUGAUUGGUGUGCGUUUGAUUAGCUAGUUGGUAGGGUAACGGCCUACCAAGGCGACGAUCAAUAGCUGGCGUGAGAGCGCGACCAGCCACACUGGAACUGAGACACGGUCCAGACUCCUACGGGAGGCAGCAGUAGGGGAAUAUUGGACAAUGGAGGAAACUCUGAUCCAGCCAUGCCGCGUGAUAGAUG
This 370-nucleotide ribosomal RNA is filed under the name uncultured bacterium. Its description in RNAcentral is "bacterial SSU rRNA". It matches the Rfam family "Bacterial small subunit ribosomal RNA", at positions 28 to 410 of the family's 1533-position model. The record is from RNAcentral.